Molecule: small RNA, 78 nt
Filed under: Flavobacterium sp. 245
Lineage: Bacteria; Pseudomonadati; Bacteroidota; Flavobacteriia; Flavobacteriales; Flavobacteriaceae
Description: Flavo-1 RNA
Source: RNAcentral
CCUGAGCGUUAGGGAUAGAGGCGGUAUCCUUUAUGAAGCGUAGCGGAAUAAAAGAUAUAGCCGAAAGCCCGGCCGGAG